Molecule: ribosomal RNA, 460 nt
Filed under: uncultured bacterium
Lineage: Bacteria
Description: partial 16S ribosomal RNA
Rfam family: Bacterial small subunit ribosomal RNA
Source: RNAcentral
CCUACGGGAGGCAGCAGUGAGGAAUAUUGGUCAAUGGACGAGAGACUGAACCAGCCAAGCAGCGUGAAGGAUGACUGCCCUAUGGGUCGUAAACUUCUUUUAUAAAGGAAUAAAACGAGGCACGCGUGCCUUUUUGCAUGUACUUUAUGAAUAAGGAUCGGCUAACUCCGUUCCAGCAGCCGCGGUAAUCCGGAGGAUCCGAGCGUUAUCCGGAUUUAUUGGGUUUAAAGGGAGCGUAGAUGGGUUGUUAAGUCAGUGGUGAAAGUUUGCGGCUCAACCGUAAAAUUGCAAUUGAGACUGGCAGUCUUGAGUACAGUUGAGGUAGGCGGAAUUCGUGGUGUAGCGGUGAAAUGCUUAGAUAUCACGAAGAACCCCGAUUGCGAAGGCAGCUUACUAAACUGUGACUGACAUUGAUGCUCGAAAGUGUGGGUAUCAAACAGGAUUAGAUACCCGGGUAGUC